This is an RNA transcript of Raphanus sativus (radish), 1151 nucleotides long. RefSeq lists it as uncharacterized. The transcript has 6 exons. The record is from RefSeq and is a predicted model, not a curated record. NCBI's taxonomy places the organism in Eukaryota, Viridiplantae, Streptophyta, Magnoliopsida, Brassicales, Brassicaceae.
UUUGGGCUUGACGGCUUGAAACCAUUUAGGGCUGUAGACGUCGACGACAUUCACCUUCCUCUUACGUUCGUCUUCUCCGAUCGAAAGACAAAGAAACUGAGCCACUCUCAUCAAUCAAUACGGUUCUUUACUACCAUGAAUUCAUUCAUAAUGACUUCGUUUCGCCUCCCUCUUCUCCUCCUUCUUUAUAUACAGAUCCUCUUUCGUUUUAACAAACCAAAACCCUAGAUCUCCUCCAACCUCAAUCGAUGGCGAUGAAACCAAAUGAGAAGUCCCCUGUCUCCUCCGCUUCUGAUGAAAAGGUCAUAUUCUUCAGAGAUGUCUCACUAAAUCCCCCACGAAACCCAGUUGCGCUUCCGUCAGAGUAUCAAAGAAGAAGCGACAAGAACGACAAGAACGAGAAGCUCAAAGACAGAGGGAAAAAAUGAACAGUGUUUUGGCAAGAAACUUAGAGUUCUCGCAGCUGAUCAUGCAGCAGAAGGGAUUUCUAGAAAAUUAUCUAUGGAGGUAGUAUAUCAAUCACACUUUAUGAUAUUAUAUGUGCUUUCAUACGAACAGUCAUCUGUGUUAUAGGUAUCGGUGCUAAAACAAGAAAAAGAGGUGUUAUCAAAUGCUGAGAAAAGAGCCUCUGACGAAGUUUUUGUUUUAUCUCAGAGAGUUUAUCGUCUUCAGGCUAUCUUGGAUACUCUCCAGAGUACAGAGGAAGCUCGUGAGGAAGCAAGAGCUGCCGAGAGAAGGAAACAAGAGGAGCAUAUCAAGCAACUUGAGAGAAUGGGCUGAAGCUAAAGAAAUUGGAAGAAGAAGCAUCAUUUUGGAAGUGAAGAGUGCGACCAAUGCUUCUGAACAGACCUUUAUUAAAGCCCAAAAGGUCAACGGAAGCCAAAGCAUGAGAAAAUCUCAGGUGGUAAGAAUGUUCCAUUGGUUCAUAUCAAAUAGAACACAGGUGCAGAUGCUAAAUUGUCACCUUCAAAUGGUGAUACCAUAGCAGCCCAGGUCAUGGAGAAUAUUAAACAAGACCCUGCACGAGCUGAUAGUGCCGCCGGCUACUCAGUCCUUUCCUUUUGAAAUCUGAGUUUCUUUUUGUAUUAUCUUGAAGACUUAAGUUUAUCCAUCUAGAGAUAAUGGUGCUAAGUGUUACUAUUAAUCUUUUA